This is a long non-coding RNA of Salvia splendens (bonfire salvia), 1073 nucleotides long. RefSeq lists it as uncharacterized. The transcript is spliced from 2 exons. NCBI's taxonomy places the organism in Eukaryota, Viridiplantae, Streptophyta, Magnoliopsida, Lamiales, Lamiaceae. The record is from RefSeq and is a predicted model, not a curated record.
AAUAAAAAUCUAUCAAAACAAUGCUAUUGUUAUUAUAAAACUCUGAUUUUUUAGUCUCAAUUCGUUUUUUUACUGCUCUGAAGUGGACUUAUGUGAGUUGUGUUCGUUUAAAUUUCAAGGAUGGAGUUAUAGGUUGUACAUGAUUAUUUUAAAUUCAUUUAGAUAUGAGCAAUAUACUAUUUCAUACUCUCUUACCAAAUGAAAUUUAGUACUCCUUGUCAAUUGACAGUUAGACACUAAACAACCUUCUCGGUUGAGUGCCUUAAGAAAUUACUCACUUGUUUUCUGUGAAUUUUGGAAUUUAGAUAAUGAUUCCAAGAUAAUUCCGGCUUUUGAUGAUUUUGGAAUGUUGGUUGCAUUUGUGCUUUGGUGUAGAUGAAGUUAUUAACAUGUAGUAGUAUAUUAAUGUUAGUAUGUUUUAGAUUGAUGUGUACAAGCAAGGGGGUAAGAUCUUGGCUAAGCUGACAGUGUUUGUUUAUUCUAUUUGUACGUGUAAGAGUCAAUAGUAUAAGGUUGGGUUUGCAGAUGAACUGAUGGAGCCUCUGUUCAUAUAUAGCCACAUGAACAUGCAGGUUCGUCAAGAGUUUGAUGAUCAUUUGUGGUCAGAGAGGAUGCAGUUGGGAACAUAUUUGGUCGAUGGUGACUCGUGACUUCAUUCUCUUCUUGUUAUUGUUGUUCCAUUUCUGUUGGCUUUCUCUCUAAAAUAAUUUCCUAAUUCUGAUUUCUCUUCUUGUUAUUCAUGCAACCAAACUUUUAGCUACAUGACAUAUCCAGAAAAAUCUUCUCAAGAGUCUUAAACCUUGUUUGUGAAUCUUGGCAGAAUAUCUCCAAUGGGCAUGAUCUUCAUUCCAUGCUAUAAAGGAUAUAGCCAUAAGCCUGAAGACUGAAGAGGAUAUUGCAAACGGGGUGAGAGUAUUAGCUCUAACGCUUGCCAAACUGUCUUUUUCUUCAUGUGUUGAGAGCUUGUUACUCAGGGCUCUGUGCCUAUGUAUGUACCUAAAUAAAUUGCUUAUUUUUCCCUUUGUUUUGAAAAUUAUUGAAUUGUACCAAUAAUAUUAUGGUUUCAUUGCUCA